AGGACGAACGCUGGCGGCGUGCCUAACACAUGCAAGUCGAACGCGCUCCAUUCGGUAGCAAUACUGAUGAAGAGCGAGUGGCGAACGGGUGAGUAGCACGUGAGCAACCUGCCCCGAAGACCGGGACAACACCGGGAAACCGGUGCUAAUACCGGAUAUCCCUAUCGGACCGCAUGAUCUGAUAAGGAAAUGGAUUCCGCUUCGAGAGGGGCUCGCGGCCUAUCAGCUAGUUGGUGAGGUAACGGCCCACCAAGGCAUCGACGGGUAGCUGGUCUGAGAGGACGAUCAGCCACACUGGGACUGAGACACGGCCCAGACUCCUACGGGAGGCAGCAGUGGGGAAUCUUGCGCAAUGGGCGAAAGCCUGACGCAGCAACGCCGCGUGGAGGACGAAGGCUUUCUGAGUUGUAAACUCCUUUCAGCAGGGACGAUAGUGACGGUACCUGCAGAAGAAGCACCGGCCAACUACGUGCCAGCAGCCGUA
RNAcentral lists this ribosomal RNA (484 nucleotides) under uncultured bacterium. Its description in RNAcentral is "SSU rRNA". It matches the Rfam family "Bacterial small subunit ribosomal RNA", at positions 26 to 519 of the family's 1533-position model. The record is from RNAcentral.